CUUUAGCAGAAUUAUCUCACUGAAUUAAAAGGAACUCUUUUUUCAGGUGCGCAUGAUGCAACUUCCUGGAUGGUGUGUAGGCUGUUUGUCAACAUGUGAAUCCCACGUGCAUUUCGGGGAGUUGUCUCCCCUUGAAAAGAUCAAUAAUGGCGGAUAAACAAUGCGGCAUGCAGUCUUGUCACCAACGGACAGUUUUGACCACCCGUGUACCCAUAUUUCUACCAGAUACCUCUGAAACCUUUGUUGUGUUCAUCACACAGAUGAUGGACCACUCUACUUCCUUUUACAACAGGUGCCCCUACAGAUUCACAAAGUUCCAGUGUUGAGUUUCCAUGACCCCUAUUCAGUGAGUGUACAACUUUAUGUAUUCUACUUUCAAAAUUUCUACUACUUGUAAUACAUUUUGGAUUUGA
Long non-coding RNA from Saccostrea cuccullata (small rock oyster), 413 nucleotides. RefSeq lists it as uncharacterized. The record is from RefSeq and is a predicted model, not a curated record. NCBI's taxonomy places the organism in Eukaryota, Metazoa, Mollusca, Bivalvia, Ostreida, Ostreidae. The transcript has 3 exons.